UAAUUUUAUAUUCGGUUAAUUUCUUAAUUUAUUAUGGCUAUAAUUAAAUCAAUGUGACCAUUUCUUAAAUUGCAAUUAUUGCCAAUUGAGCCCAUUUUCCUUCAUUUUCCCUUAUAUUGGUCCAACUCGACUACAAUAUAUUUAAACCCAUUUCAAUCCAAAGCCCAAUUCCAUACAUCCGUAAACAAUCCCCACAAAUCAAUUUCCUAUUUCACCAAACGAACUAACAUGUAUACACCUAUACUUACAAUUUCCUAUUUAUAUACAACUACUGACCAAUACCUACUCAUAUUUCUAUACCACGUGGCAACAUCAAACAUAUACCUUAUUUUUCCCAUUACAUUACAAUACCGUACCACAAUACAUAUGUAAUGACCCUCCAUGUCAUUUUUGUCUUUUUCUAAUCUUUUCCACCUUUAGAGCUUUCCUAUAGUGAUCCCAAGUCAUUUAUGACUUGCUCGCACUGACUGUUUGGUCGCUUGGUCGUUCGUUUAGGUUUUAUGCACAUUUUUCUGUUUUGGAGGUCUUGGAGCUUGAAUGGUUGACUUUGGUGAAAACUCUAGGAAGGCGACCUCAGAACAAAAUUGUAAUGGUUCCAUUAGCUCUAGAAUGACCAAAUUAGGCUAGUAGCGUGGUCGGCAUGGGUAUCGAGGCAAUCGAUGCGAGUUUGAGGCCAUUUGGCACUUUAGUCUUUGAAAUUUCAUCUAAAGUCGACUUUGGUCAACAUUCUUAGAAAACAUGCUCGGAUUGAAUUUCCCUUAAUGCGAUUAGAUUUGAAAUGUUCAGUUUGGUCUAGAACGACCUUUCGUUCGUGUCUCAAGGCUUUCAAUCUCAUUUUGAGCCCUUUUGUGGAUUGUGGUUUAAUCUGAAGUUUGGGUGUGGGACCAUUGUUUUUCUAGAUGUCCUCGGAUGGGAAUUUCAACAACACUUUUGAGAUCAGAAUGUCAUUUCCAAUCAGACUCCAUAUACGGUUUGCAUUUUCCUGACUCCGAAUAUGUCCGGAGCAUCAAAACAGUUGUUGAAAUCUGGUGCAAGAGGGUCCACGCGAUCAUGGUGAUCAUCUAGAAUGGAGAGGCACAGUCGUGACCUAUAAGCCAUCACGAUUGUGAUGAGGAAAUAAACGGCUAUAAAUGGUUGUUCCUUUCCAAAUUCAAGGGGAUUUAUUUGAAAACUUUGGAUAGUGAUAGUUUGAUCAAUUUUGAUCUGAAUUGAGUGAUUCAAAAGUCAAAAUUGUGAGAUUUUUUGAGGAGAAUGCGUUGUUGAGCUCAGAAACUGAAUUGAAAGCUUUGUUUGUGGUAAUAUUUGCAUUAUAGUUGCUGCAUUUCUUAUUUUCGAAUUAGAUUUUUGGUGAAUUAUGAGAUUUGAUAUCUUGAUCAUUUUAGGUGCAUUUUGAGUGAUUCAAAGCUCUAAAUUGUGUGAUUUUUCAUUGGGAAUGAAGUGGUGUUCCAAAAGUUCUGGGGAACCUUUGUUUGAGGUAAAAUUCAGAAAAGAGGGGAUGCUCUAACUUAGUUUAAGCUUUAAUGGUGUUUUUAAUUAUUGGGAUGAUUUUGGUCAUUUUGAGCAUUGAUUUGUGCCCUAUUUUGGGGUACAAGCUCAAUAAUGUAUUUAGAACCUUUUCAAGGAGUCGUUUUUUGAAUUUCCAUCACGGAUCCCAUAAUUCUGUUUUAGACCCAAUUUUGGGUUCGUCUCCAAAAAAUGCGAUUUUAGUGUUAAAACAUUCAUAUUGAUGAGGUGAUCAAUAUUUUGAUAGCGCGAAGGCAUUUGAAGUCACUUUUGGAGUGAAAAGCUAUCAGUAUGUGGAAUUGGAGCGCGCGUGUUCGGCUUUGAGAUCAUACUACGGUUUUUCUUUACUAAUUUGGAUUUCGUGCGGAGCAUCUCUUGAAUUUUGGAGACUAGGGUUAGCUCUUAGCAUUUGGAGUUGCCUAUCUCCCUCUAUUUCAGCUUGGACUAGCCUUUAUUUUUCACUCAGAGACAGUUAUGCUAUUAUUAUAUCUGUAUAAACUUUGUACUCCUUUAUUUAGUUUAGUGGCUCGACUACCAACUGAAAUCAGGUCUUGGAGGUUAUCUUGUUGUAUUGUUCUUGUUCUUCUUUUCUUUAUUAUUAUUGUUAUUAUUAUUAAUAUUAUUAGUCAAUUCUUUCCUUCCGCUUGUGA
Molecule: long non-coding RNA, 2153 nt
Organism: Solanum dulcamara
Lineage: Eukaryota; Viridiplantae; Streptophyta; Magnoliopsida; Solanales; Solanaceae
Exons: 2
Source: RefSeq, a predicted model, not a curated record